RNAcentral lists this ribosomal RNA (382 nucleotides) under uncultured bacterium. RNAcentral describes it as "bacterial SSU rRNA". It matches the Rfam family "Bacterial small subunit ribosomal RNA", at positions 28 to 409 of the family's 1533-position model. The record is from RNAcentral.
AUUGAACGCUGGCGGCGUGCUUAACACAUGCAAGUCGAUCGGUAACAGGUGUAGCAAUACAUGCUGACGAGAGGCGGACGGGUGAGUAAUGCUUGGGAAUCUGCCUAUUAGUGGGGGACAACCCGGGGAAACUCGGGCUAAUACUGGAUAUGACUCCAUGACGCAUGUUGUGGGGUGGAAGCCUUGUGCGGCUGAGGAUGGGCCCGCGGCCUAUCAGCUUGUUGGUGGGGUGAUGGCCUACCAAGGCGACGACGGGUAGCCGGCCUGAGAGGGCGACCGGCCACACUGGGACUGAGACACGGCCCAGACUCCUACGGGAGGCAGCAGUGGGGAAUCUUGCGCAAUGGGCGAAAGCCUGACGCAGCGACGCCGCGUGAGGGAU